UAACUUUGUAGAGGGCGUUAAAGCUUAUUUAUUAAUAGUAAUACAAAUAAUUUUAAUAGGGGGCUCUAAAUUGUAUAAGUUUAUAGGAAAGUUUCAUUGGUUUGAAAGUUAUAAUGUUGAAAUUAGUAGAGAAUAAAUAUAUAUUUUUUGUGAAUUAAUCAAUCCUUACAUUGGAUGGAACAAUUGAGUUUACUAACGGGAAAUUAGUUUGUUUAAAUUGUCUACUAACACAAGUAAUAUGGAGUAAGUUAAUAAAAGGGANNNNNNNNNNNNNNNNNNNNNNNNNNNNNNNNNNNNNNNNNNNNCGCUCUUUGUAAAGAAUCUAAUAUAUAAAGAGUCCUGCCUGCCCGGUGACUUAGUUAAACGGCCGCGGUAUCUUGACCGUGCAAAGGUAGCAUAAUCAUUUGCCUCUUAAAUGGGGGCUGGUAUGAAAGGCAAGACGGAAGUCAAGCUGUCUCUCUCUUAUAUUUUGAAGUUGAUAUUUUUGUGAAGAAGCAGAAAUAAGAUCGUAGGACGAGAAGACCCUAUCGAGCUUUAGUAGAAGUAAGAUACAGUCAUGUUAAUGAUAUUUUAUUGCUAAUUGGUUAUUUUUAAUAACUAGUGUAGUUUUACUAUUAGAGUAAUCAUGUUGUGUAUAUUAUAUUUAGGUUGGGGCAACCGCGGAGAAUAGUUAUCCUCCGCUAAUUUUAUUAGUAAAAAGAUGUUUUUAAAUAUAAGAUUUAUGUAUAAGUGAUCCAUUGUAAUAGAUGAGAAAAGGAAUAAGUUACCGUAGGGAUAACAGCGUAAUUUUUUUGGAGAGUUCAUAUUGAUAAAAAAGUUUGCGACCUCGAUGUUGGAUCGGGAUUUCCUGGGGAUGCAGCAGUUCCUAAUGGUUGGUCUGUUCGACCAUUAAAAUCCU
RNAcentral lists this ribosomal RNA (898 nucleotides) under Paranepanthia sp. DWF-2009. RNAcentral describes it as "partial 16S ribosomal RNA". It matches the Rfam family "Bacterial large subunit ribosomal RNA", at positions 1117 to 2597 of the family's 2925-position model. The record is from RNAcentral. Lineage: Eukaryota; Metazoa; Echinodermata; Asteroidea; Valvatida; Asterinidae.